GUCUAUGGCCAUGCCACCCUCAACACACCCCAUCUUGUUGAUCUCGGAAGCUAAGCAGGGUCAGGCCUGGUUAGUACUUGGAUGGGAGACCACCUGGAAUACCGGGUGCUGUAGGCU
This 117-nucleotide ribosomal RNA is filed under the name Pteropus vampyrus (large flying fox). The record is from RNAcentral. Lineage: Eukaryota; Metazoa; Chordata; Mammalia; Chiroptera; Pteropodidae.